AUUGAACGCUGGCGGCAUGCCUUACACAUGCAAGUCGAACGGCAGCGGGCCUUCGGGUGCCGGCGAGUGGCGAACGGGUGAGUAAUGCAUCGGAACGUGCCAUUGAGUGGGGGAUAACGUAGCGAAAGUUGCGCUAAUACCGCAUAUUCUGUGAGCAGGAAAGCAGGGGACCGCAAGGCCUUGCGCUCUUUGAGCGGCCGAUGUCAGAUUAGCUAGUUGGUGAGGUAAAGGCUUACCAAGGCGACGAUCUGUAGCGGGUCUGAGAGGAUGAUCCGCCACACUGGAACUGAGACACGGUCCAGACUCCUACGGGAGGCAGCAGUGGGGAAUUUUGGACAAUGGGGGCAACCCUGAUCCAGCCAUGCCGCGUGAGUGAAGAAGGCCUUCGGG
RNAcentral lists this ribosomal RNA (390 nucleotides) under uncultured bacterium. RNAcentral describes it as "bacterial SSU rRNA". It matches the Rfam family "Bacterial small subunit ribosomal RNA", at positions 30 to 422 of the family's 1533-position model. The record is from RNAcentral.